This 75-nucleotide transfer RNA is filed under the name Desulfurobacterium pacificum. RNAcentral's name for it is "tRNA_Pro_CGG". It matches the Rfam family "tRNA". From Rfam's summary of the family: Transfer RNA (tRNA) molecules are approximately 80 nucleotides in length. Their secondary structure includes four short double-helical elements and three loops (D, anti-codon, and T loops). The record is from RNAcentral. Lineage: Bacteria; Pseudomonadati; Aquificota; Aquificia; Desulfurobacteriales; Desulfurobacteriaceae.
CGGGGCGUGGCGCAGCCUGGUUAGCGCGCUUGGUUCGGGACCAAGAGGACGGGGGUUCAAAUCCCCCCGCCCCGA